Long non-coding RNA from Canis lupus familiaris (dog), 1619 nucleotides. RefSeq lists it as uncharacterized. The transcript has 3 exons. The record is from RefSeq and is a predicted model, not a curated record. NCBI's taxonomy places the organism in Eukaryota, Metazoa, Chordata, Mammalia, Carnivora, Canidae.
CUCUUCUCUGAUACCCACACCUCAGGUGCUCACUGGUGUGGACCUGUCUCCUGGCUUCCUGGGACACCUACCACACUGCUUGUUGGAGAGAAAAUGCAAAGGAGAAAACUCCAAAAGUGGAAAUGAAGCUCACAGUCAGAAGACUCUUGCUUCAUUCAAGUAGAGGUCUGGAGACUCUUUAUAUUCAUCCAGUCAGCAAUUGUUUUUUUAGGUGCCUUUUAUAAGACAGGCACUGUUUGAGCCUGGAGAGGCUUUGUGGAACAAGAUUGGCUGAGCCUCUCCCCUCACGGAGCAUGCAUUCUAGAGGCCCUGGCAUGCACAGGAAAUACCACCUGGACACAGCAACCUUUAGAAACUAGAGGAUGUUAGUGCAGGAAGGAAAAGGAAAUCCAUCUCCUUUACAGUGGAGGAAACUGAGCCUGAAGAAUUUAAGACUCUCAUGAAUUCCAACAGCUGCCCUGUGUUCACAACAGCCUUGACUUUUUCAGACUUAGGUAUUAUGUGCAUCUAAAAUAUCUCUAAGUAGCCACAUUUCAUGUGAUACGGAGGAUGCCCUAAUCUGACUCCUCUCUAGCAAAGGGAGAAGGGAGAUGUGCAGAAAAGGAAAAAGGAGUAAAGAAAGAUGGAUUUUGCACACGUUACCAUCACCCCAGUGAAAUUUCUCAAAGAAGAGUGAUCCUCUCUGGAAAGUGGUUUUAACGAGAAACCCAGAAGUCAAAUUCAUGUUAUAAGAAAGUCACAUUAUAAAGAAAGCUCAUGUAUCAUUAUCACCCUUUCACCUAAUUUCCUCUAAUUAGACUGAAAAUUCUACCAGGGCCAGGAUUUGGAGCUGUGACCAGAGGGUUGCGGGUUUGGUUCCGCAGGUGUAAAGACACGAGCCUUCCUUACAGGAGGCUACCUUUCCAACUGCCAUUGCCCACAACUUUUAUUUUGGUGAUACACGGAGGCUGCUCUCAUGGGCAGGGGUAAUAAGAAUACUGAGUUCUCCCUAAGCGUUGGGCUUUGUGUCAGAGCAUUUGAUUUGCACCCUCAUUAGUCCUCUAUCCUGACACCAUCCGUGCGCUACAGGCACAGUCACACUGUAGAAUGGUGAGACCGAGGCAGCAGGCAUUGAGGGGGGGAGGAAGGUGCCACUGUUCACGGAGGUAAGCAGCGGAAGAGCUGUUAUUUGGACACUGUACCCUGAGCACUUAAACGCCUGUAUUCUUUUGAUGGGUCUCAAUGAAGCCGGGCAGACAAUGAAGCUUGUCCAGUUUCAGCUGGUGACCAAAGGUGGCAUCAGAGCUCACCCACGCGCUUUGCCCCACCGAGGGAGCCGUGCAUACACUGGAGGCGGUGAACAGAGUUACUCACUUUGUUUCGGUGGAAAGUAGGUGACGACUGGGGCUGUCACAGGAACCAGGACCAACAUCUUUCAACGUUUUCCUGUCGGUUGUGAUUUUUAUUUUAGGGCAUCUUUUCCCUGUUUUUUCUAGAUUGUCACAAAACAUUUGCACAAUGACCGGAGGCGUUGUGACACCCUGAGUUGAAAAAGUCUAAGGACAACUUGGAUGAAGGAAAGCUUUGAAGUAGGGACACGGUCGGCCCUCACCUUGGUUAAAUAAAUCGAAUGGAAGCGA